UGACUGUUUUGCCCUCAUUUGCCUAUGCGUCCCUCAUUGCUCCGCCUUCUUCGUUCGCUUUUCUGCUUUUUGUUUCUCUGUGCACAGCGUUGCCCACGCGUCCUCAUCCGUGUGCCUUUUCGUUGGAUUUUCUUCCUGCUAUACACGUGUUGCUCAUCCAAGAACGGAAGAAAGAUGGAAAAUCAGGGAUCUUCCAUUUGCUUCCACGGAUUUCUCGAUCUCUCUCGAGCUCAGGUCCGUUGCCUUCGGGAAGAAAGUUUAAACCUAGAAAAGCAUGGUUUUCAGGAAAUCGUCAAUCCUGCAGAAACCUUGGGUUUCCUGAUUUCAUCGGCUAUUUCAUCAAUUUUUCGAUUCGAUCAGGAUCGGUUUUUUACCCACGAAAUCUAGCAUGUUCUGAUCCAGCUUGGGUGUAUGAUCAGGAGACCUUGCUGUUUGUUUUUGGGCUUUGGUGUAUAUACUUCGAAGCCCUUUGUGCACAAGGUGGUAAUCGAAGAAGUUUGUCAAGGGCCAAUGGGACAAGGAGGAUUGGAUUUCAGAUUGGCAGAAAUACAAGGCCUCCCUCUCUGUUGCAGAAGAUGGGGGCUUUGGAUUUAAAGAAGGUGGUGACAGGCACCAGGGGUGGCUUCUCAUCAUUUGCAAUUGGUUACAUGGGGUGUUUUCUAUUUAUUGGCUAAUAUGUUGAGCCUUUUAGUCAUCGGAUACUGGUUGGAGAAAGAGUUCAACUUUGCGGUUAAAGAGGGGUGCGAGGAAACUUUAGAAAAUAUUAAGGAAGGUUCUGAUGAAUUCUCAUUUAGAGUUGGUGACAACCAAUCGACUCAUCACCAACUUUAGAUCAAGAUUCAAGCAUGCCUUAAAUGUAAAGCUUGCAUUAAGAUUCAGCUCUCCGAUCCGAAAGACCUUAAGAUUGAUGGCUGAAUUAUUAAUUUGAGCGACAUCCCACUAGGAAAUGCAGAGGGCAUACUAGAAAUUGCAGAUAAAGAGGAGUAUAUUCUGCGGCGUCGAGUACAUGCCAUGUCUGAGCUAUCCCGAAGUAAAUGCCAUCCAAUAUCUGUAUGUAUGUAUUUAGACCAAUUAUUAUAUAUAUGCUAUAUAAAUACAUAUAGGGUUUCUCAUUUUACUAUCAUGAAGUAUUGUGGUUUUUAAAAUUUCAUACAUCAAGUUUUUUUUCCUCCCAGUGUCAAUACCUAAAGUGAGAUUUGUAGGACACUUUCAUACUUUUGUUAGGUUUUUCAUUAGAACCUCCAUUAACUCGUGACAUGGCGCCCACGUGGGGUCAUAUUGACAUGUGACGCCCAUUCAUUAUCCACAUGAGCACCAAGUCACACGUUAACUUAGGUUCUGACGAAAAACCUAAUAAAAGUAUUAAAGUGUACGACAAUCCUCACUUUAGGUAUGACAUCGAGAUGAAAAAAUCUUGAUGUAUGGAAGUUUGAAAACCAUGAUACUUUAGGGUAGUAAAAUGAGAAUUACCCACAUAUAUAUAGGAAAGUGCUAUUCACACACCUAUUUUUUUAUCUCAAAUGCACCUUUGUUAAUUUUUUGUCAUUGAUCUUCUUCAGUUCAUUCGAUUUAACCGUAGAAAAUUGAGGGAGGUGUAGAAAUAAAAAUGGAUGUGUUGAUAACACUACCCUAUAUAUAUAGGAAGCCUUUAAGGGAAGAUCCCUAUUUUU
RNA transcript from Pyrus x bretschneideri (Chinese white pear), 1670 nucleotides. RefSeq lists it as uncharacterized. The transcript is spliced from 10 exons. NCBI's taxonomy places the organism in Eukaryota, Viridiplantae, Streptophyta, Magnoliopsida, Rosales, Rosaceae. The record is from RefSeq and is a predicted model, not a curated record.